CCUUUUGCUUCUGGCUGGCAGCCAAGGCAGGGAGCAGGCCAGGGAUGGUAACUCUGAUUAUCUUCAUUCAAUAGGAAGAAGAGGGUAACAGAAAAUGAGAAACAGAAGGAGACUAAAAAAGCCACCCAUCUUCUCCAGAUAUUGAAGCUACGGAUUUGUUGGGUAUUUCUGCCAGCUGCAAGGAAGGACAGGGGGACUUUCUUAGACAAAGUUUCUGCUGUUGCUGUACAUGCACAUGUGGUCAUCAGCAAAACCCAUUCUUUUCCGCUUUCAAAACACAAGCCUUGCCUUUGAGAUAAGGUGGUACUGGUGUUCAUAAGACUAUCCCAUCUCCCAGGCCUUCUCAAAACAUGGAUUGUUUGUGAUAUAAAUCACAGGACCUCAUGCAGUGUUAUGCGUUUCCAGUUGCGAGUUAACUUCACUGAAUCACACAGGCAUAUAUUAAUGCUGCUACUUUGCACCAGCACAUGAGAUAAAUGUUUAUUUAUUGCUUAUUACCAAUAAGACAUUUGUAGACCAAAAGCAGAAGCAACUAAUAUCUUGUCUGGAAACCAGGAAAGAGGUGAAAUUUAUGACAGGGAAUUGGGGAAAGAUAAUUCAUUUGCUUUAGUUCUGCGAUUAGAUCCCAAAAGGAGAAGUAAUAAAAACCUGCCACCAGAUGUCAUCUUGCAGCUAACUAAUAGCUUCCAACACAGCCGGGACUAGGGGCACAGUGAGAUGAAACUGGAAGGCACUGACACUUAAACAGGGUGCAGAGCAGCAGGGACCACUGCACUCUGACUUAGAGAAUGGCCAAGGAAACUGAGAUAUUUCGCCGUUUUCUGCGUGAAGUCUUUUCAACUCGCUUGGUCA
Molecule: long non-coding RNA, 852 nt
Organism: Cygnus olor (mute swan)
Lineage: Eukaryota; Metazoa; Chordata; Aves; Anseriformes; Anatidae
Exons: 2
Source: RefSeq, a predicted model, not a curated record